Molecule: transfer RNA, 99 nt
Filed under: Colletotrichum graminicola M1.001
Lineage: Eukaryota; Fungi; Ascomycota; Sordariomycetes; Glomerellales; Glomerellaceae
Description: tRNA-Pro for anticodon CGG
Source: RNAcentral
GGCCCAAUGGUCUAGAGGUAUGAUUCGCCCUUCGGGUUUAACAACCCUUCAGCUUAGCUUGACUGGGCGAGGCCCCGCGUUCGAAUCGCGGUUGGGCCC